UAAAAAGUGAAGGCAAUAUUAUUGUUUUUUCACAUUUCUAAAUUCUACCAUAACAUAUAUUCCCUGUGGAAAAACCCAAAAGAAAACAUUAGUCUCAGGCAUUCUUCUAUGGAAAAAUUCCCAGAAAAUCUGCAAAAAAAUUAAUAAAUUGAAGGGUGUUCAAAAGCAAGCUGAAUAUUUACAGAUAAGUUGUAUUUAAAUAUAAAUUUUGAAAGAAAAAAAAAAGAAGAGGAAAAGCAAGAAUCUUUGUUUAUAGCUGAAUAAAGGGGGUGUUUUUAUGUUCAGGGUUCUUUUCUUGUAAUUUGGGUUUGUUUGGUGAGCUGCUUACAAUAGAAAGGGGAAUUUUUUUUCUGAAUAUAUAGUGUUUUGUAUAUGUUUUGUUAAUUUUGAAGAAUACCCUUUUGGAUUUAGGUUGCUAAAUCUCAGUUCUUUAAGUUAUUUCUUGGUAUUUUGUGAAAAAGAUUGGAUUUUUUUCUCUGGGUUGUGGUGGAUUUGUUCAGAUUGUAAGUUCCUGUUUGGUUGGUGAAAUUUCCUUAUCUGGGUUGUGGUGGGGUUUGGUUCUUGAUUUCCAAUCUGGUGCAAAGACUCUAUUUUUGUACCAGUUACGUCCUGUUAGUUUUUAUCUGUUUUAGUGAUUUGGAUUAGGAAAUUAGUUUAAGUUGGGAAAGUUGGAUUUGUUGAGGUCAGAAUGGGGAAGGAAAGUUGGACAAAGUCGAAAAAGAUAGGAGGUAAAUCUGGUGAAAGUAGUAGUCCUAGAGCAUUUGACAAGGACACAGCAGUUUUCAUUGCUAUGUCCAAGGAACUUAAGGAUGAGGGGAAUAAGUUAUUUCAGAAAAGGGACUAUGAAGGGGCAAUGUUGAAGUAUGACAAAGCUAUCAAGUUGCUUCCGCGGAACCACAUCGAUGUUUCUUACCUCCGCAGUAAUAUAGCAGCUUGUUAUAUGCAGAUGGGACUUAGUGAAUACCCUAGAGCGAUCCAUGAGUGCAAUUUGGCUCUUGAAGUCACACCGAAAUAUAGUAAGGCGCUUUUGAAGAGAGCUAGGUGUUAUGAGGCUUUGAAUAGGCUUGAUUUGGCACAGAGAGAUGUUAAUAGGGUGCUGGAGAUGGAGCCUAAUAAUCUCAUGGCUACGGAGAUUGCAGAGAGGGUGAAAACAACCAUUGAGGAAAGAGGUAUUGGUGUGAAUGACAUUCCGGUAGAUUUGAUCCCUGUACCGGAAUAUGUUGAACCAACAUUUGUUUCAAGUCACUCCAAAUCAUCAAAAGAGAAGGCUCUAAAGAAGAAAAUCAAGAAAGUAGAGGAGAAGAUGGUUAAUGGGAAGGCGGAAGAGAAGGAAUUUGACGCCGGAGUUGAUUUAAAGCAAACUGACAACAGGAAUGAGGAAAGGAACACUGAGGACCAAAAUGAAAAUACGGAUAAAGACCAGACUAAGGAAGAAAAGGUUGAUGACAAGACGGAGGGAAAUAAAGCUGAGAACAAGACCCACAGAAAGAAAGCUAAGGAUAAGAGUAAGGAAAAGAAGAAUAAGGACAAGAUCGAGGUCAAGAAUAAGGUUAAGGAUCGGUUUGAGGAGAACAAAGAUGAGGACAAUGAGGAGAGGAAAACUGAAGAUAAAUUGGUGGUGGAGGAAAUUAUUAGUCAUACCACAGAAGAAGAGACAAAAAGAACAGUGAAAUUAGUAUUUGGGGACGACAUAAGAUGGGCCCAAGUUCCUGUGAACUGCAGUAUCUUGACACUGAGGGAAAUCAUAGGUGAUCGUUUCCCAAGCUUAAAAGCUGUCCUAAUCAAGUAUAGGGACCAAGAAGGUGACCUGGUUACUGUGACAACAAACGAGGAAUUAAGGUGGGCUGAAGCUUCUGUUGGACAUGGUUCUAUAAGAUUCUAUAUCGUGGAAGUUAGUCCAGAGCAGGAUCCUUUCUAUGAGAAGAUCAAAGGGGUGGAAGACGAUCAUAAAUACAAUGCACGACAUGAUAAGAUUGUUGAAAAUGGAAAUGUUGAAAGAAGCAAGGAGUUGCAUAAUGGACCAGUUUGCAUUAAUGAUUGGAUCUUCCAGUUCUCUAAUUUGUUCAAAAACUAUGUUGGAUUUGAGUCCGAUGCUUAUCUGGAUCUCCAUGAAGUUGGAAUGAAGCUAUACUCUGAGGCUUUGGAAGAGGCAAUUACAAGUGAAGAAGCUCAAUGUCUUUUCAGCACGGCUGGAGAAACAUUUCAGGAGAUGGCUGCUUUGGCAUUGUUCAACUGGGGUAAUGUUCAUAUGUCCAGGGCACGGAAAAGGGUCUACUUGAAAGAAGAUAGUUCCGGAGAAUCUUUGCUGGCGCAGAUAAAAAUUGCUUAUGAUUGGGCUCUAAAAGAAUAUUCGAAAGCAGGAGAGAGGUAUGAAGAGGCAUUAAAUAUCAAACCAAACUUUUAUGAAGGUAUCCUCGCUCUGGGGCAACAACAGUUUGAGCAGGCAAAACUUUCUUGGUAUUAUACGAUUAGCACUGGUGUCAAUCUGGAUUCUUGGCCUUCUACUGAGGUUCUGCAGCUUUACAACAGUGCUGAGGAAAAUAUGGAAAGAGGUAUGCAGAUGUGGGAGGAGGCAGAGGAACAGCGUCUAAAUGAACUAUCAAGUACCAACAAAUUGCAGAAGAUGAAGUCAGAGAAUUUGUUCAAAGGAAUAUCUGCAGAUGAAGCUUCUGAGCAAGCUGCAAACAUGAUGUCUCAGAUAAAUUUACUAUGGGGUACCAUGCUAUACGAACGAUCACUUAUGGAGUUCAAACUUGGGCUUCCACUCUGGCAAGAAUCUUUGGAGGUUGCUGUUGAAAAAUUUGAAUUGGCCGGAGCUUCUCCAACAGAUAUUGCCGUUAUGAUAAAGAAUCAUUGUUCCAACAGUACAGCGACAGAAGGGCUGGGAUUCAAUAUUGACGAGAUAGUGCAGGCAUGGAAUGAGAUGUAUGAAGCAAAACGGUGGGAAAGAGGCGUCCCUUCUUUCAGGUUGGAACCAUUGCUUAGGCGGCGAGUUUCCAAGCUGUAUCAUGCCCUUGAAUUAGCAUGAGUUCUGGUUAUGGUGUCAGAGGAAUCAAGAAAGAAACUCACUAUUACUGUUGUUGUUGCACUCGGUCUACGCUAUGCUCGCUGGGAAGGGAUUGUUUGUGCAUCAGCUGUUAAUACAGGUUUUGGAAUUUGGACCUUGUGGCACUAUCACACUAAGGAUUGUAUUACCUGUUUUCGUUCCAUCGAUUUUUUACAGUAUCCCAAAGGAAUUAAAGAAAAAAAGAAAAGAGAAGUUUUUAUCCCUUUUCCUUUAUAUGGAGAUGAAGAGGCAAAAACAUGUUUUUCUUUAUUUUUGCCUUGUCGUCGUUGUCUUGCCCAGUGCUGUGCUGCAGGUUCCUCAAAGCCAGUAGCGAAUCGCUUUCUGUAAUUUUCAGUUAUUCUCCUUUUGGCUCAUGGAAGGGUCCUAAAGGCAUUCUUUUCUUAUAGGAAUUUCUUUGUUAGGAGAAUUUUUUGUUGUCACCAAGAUUGGCUUGUAGUACUGUUUUGUGUCAGUUUAGCUUUACUGUGUGUUUUUCUUAAGAGAUUUCACAAUUAGGGUCCUAGAUAGAGUUCUUGCAUUGUAUUGAUGUAACAUUAUGUUAGUUGAUUAUGUAUUGUACUUGUUUAUAUGAUGUUCCAUAUUGUUGGUUAGGUUGUAUUUUAA
RNA transcript from Solanum pennellii, 3670 nucleotides. It is a transcript of the gene named protein PHOX1, with no coding region annotated. NCBI's taxonomy places the organism in Eukaryota, Viridiplantae, Streptophyta, Magnoliopsida, Solanales, Solanaceae. The record is from RefSeq and is a predicted model, not a curated record. The transcript has 3 exons.